Molecule: ribosomal RNA, 497 nt
Filed under: uncultured bacterium
Lineage: Bacteria
Description: partial 16S ribosomal RNA
Rfam family: Bacterial small subunit ribosomal RNA
Source: RNAcentral
GACGAACGCUGGCGGCGUGCCUAACACAUGCAAGUAGAACGCUGAAGAGAGGAGCUUGCUCUUCUUGGAUGAGUUGCGAACGGGUGAGUAACGCGUAGGUAACCUGCCUUGUAGCGGGGGAUAACUAUUGGAAACGAUAGCUAAUACCGCAUAACAAUGGAUGACACAUGUCAUUUAUUUGAAAGGGGCAAUUGCUCCACUACAAGAUGGACCUGCGUUGUAUUAGCUAGUAGGUGAGGUAAUGGCUCACCUAGGCGACGAUACAUAGCCGACCUGAGAGGGUGAUCGGCCACACUGGGACUGAGACACGGCCCAGACUCCUACGGGAGGCAGCAGUAGGGAAUCUUCGGCAAUGGGGGCAACCCUGACCGAGCAACGCCGCGUGAGUGAAGAAGGGUUUCGGAUCGUAAAGCUCUGUUGUAAGUCAAGAACGGGUGUGAGAGUGGAAAGUUCACACUGUGACGGUAGCUUACCAGAAAGGGACGGCUAACUACGUG